Long non-coding RNA from Poecile atricapillus (Black-capped chickadee), 2537 nucleotides. RefSeq lists it as uncharacterized. The record is from RefSeq and is a predicted model, not a curated record. The transcript has 3 exons. Lineage: Eukaryota; Metazoa; Chordata; Aves; Passeriformes; Paridae.
UGUGCUGGGGGUGCUGGGUUGGAGCUGACCCUGUGCUGGGGGUGCUGGGUUGGAGGUGACCCCACGCCGGGGGGGUGGUGGCAGAGGCGCUACCUGCGCGGUGUGCGGAGGUGUUGGGCGCAGCCAGGCAGGACCCGCCGUCGCCAGAGGAGCCCGCCACGUCUGCCAAGGCCCCCUUUGUAACCUGCUAUAGAAAAUGGAGGUUCUACCUUCCUGAGCCAAGAAGCCAUAAUAUAUGCAUAGCUGUAGCUGGCUUUUUUUGGCAGGGAAUGCCGGCAAGCCUACAGAAUUAACAGCUCUACAGAUGGGCAACAUCCAGGUCUGAAACAAGGAGUGAAAGAAGACACGGUCCAGCCAACUCGGAGAAGGACUUUAAUGGGAAACAGUCACUGGACCAAGUUGCUCCAAGAUAGAAUUUGAACUAAUGCCACCUGAUGGAGAGUGGGAAUCACUGCAGCAGAAGAAAAGACUGAAGUUUGGAAGUUCGGGGUCACUUCAGGGGAGCUGGGUGGUUCCCCCCUGGGCUCUCUUUGGAAGGUAUGGUGAAAGCAAAAGGUGAAAGUUGAAAAAAAAAAAAAAGUGGAGAACAAAAGUUUUCCCUAAGAAAAGGAGUAUUUUGAUUCAUUGGUGAUUUUACUGUUCAGGCUGCCAGACUCUAUAAAAGAGGGAACAGGAAUGACCAUCAAAUCAAAGAGGGGACGGGGAUUUGAAAACUUCAUUGUUAUUGUAGCUAGAAGAGAAAAUGGCACAACAUGAAUCCAUUCUAGGGGCAAUGAUUGUAAAUGAGAAAGGGAAUGGCACAAAGGUAACCCUUUCCAGUCCUAACAAGGUACACUUGUGUGGUCUUAACACCCUUUGGCUCUCUAUUUUGUGUAAUUUGCUGGUUUCUUUGCUAGAACCACUGCAUGCUUGUAGCCCUGGAGCAGUGAAUUAGCAAAUACAUUUUCAUCUUUGGAAAACAGAAACUUCCAUUGUAAUUUCGUUAAUGAUGAUCAAGAAAUGUAUUUUAACUGUUCUAUAGCAACAUGAAAGUGAUGUUACAGUGACUAAAGCAAUGUUUUUGGUAUCAGCCUAUUCCAUCCACUUAGAGUACUUAAAAAAUGGGAUGUUUUUUGCUAAGAUGAACUGUAUUCUCAGCAAAAAAGGUCAAGGGACAAACACAUCAAGCCCUGUGCCUGGCUCAGGGCAAUAUGUGCAAACACAACUGGACAAAACAAACCUUGAAGUGUCCAUGCAAACCCAAGUUUGCACAAGCAAAGCAGGAUGUAUAUGUAAAUGGGAGUUUGCUCACAUACAUUAACUAGCUGGAGCAGAAAGCAGCAGGAAAGUUUUGCUUUAAUUAUUUCAGAAAGUGAAGCAGGAUGGUGAUAUUUGCCUGGGCCACUUCACCCUGUUGGCCAUUUCCCACCCUCUUGGGAAAGCACUGAGGAGGCUUUGCUGGUUUGUAGGCACAGCUUGGUGGGUUUGUGUACAGCCAGAAGAAAAGUGGGGCAGGAAUUCAGCAGUGAAUUACAGCGAGGGUCAAACAGAUCCUUAUGGAAAACCUCCUGGGGACUGUUAGAGAGCUGCUAAAUCUUGAAGCCAGACUUGGAGCAGGGCUGCAGCAAGACUGAGAGUAAGUGUAGGCCAAGGUGAAGCCAAAUCUCUCCAGUUAGGUGAUUCUCCAACUCUUGUGGUAUAUUUUUUGCAAACCAUUUGAAUUUGUUAACAGAAUUUAUUUAACACUGAUUAAAAAGUGUUAUGACUAAUGUAGAUACCUAUGUAUCUCUCUAUAUAUCUCUAUACAUUUGGUAUACUAUCAGAACACUCAGAAAAUCCCAAUAUUAUACAUCUUUUAGCAAAUAAAUGACAAUUUUAAGGGCUACUCAUGGGGGAAAAUAUACCUAGGUGAAGUUUUUAAUGUAAAUUUUAUUUUUUAAAAGAAGAUAUGUACCACAGAUAAGGAGAUGGGAUGGGUGAUGACUUCACUUUUAGACCUCAAUUAGGUCUUAUAUCUAACACAAAAAGUAUUUGUAUACUCCUGUUUUAAUUAUCUGUGCCAGACAAAUUAGCUGUUUUUCCUGAUUUGCAUUUUUCAAUACUUUUUAAUAAUCUAAAAAUGCUCCUUUUUUAGGACUCUGUUGCACUUCUGCUACUGUGGUAUUUGGAAGUUACCCACCAUAGCCACCAUAUAGCCACUGAUCCCAUGUUAAAUUUAUUAUCAGUAUUCUGAGUCAAAGGAAUAGGUUUUGAAGCACAAGAGAAGACUGGAAGUGCUAUGUACUGGAGUAAGUGUGAGUGUUUAUUUGAAUGGAUCACAACACAUUUGUGCUUCUCAGAAAUAUGAGGCCAAAAUAAUUUUCCAUAUGUGCAGGUUUAUGAAAUAGAAGGAGGUGCCAAUAUGUUAUCUAAAUGAAAUGUAUUCUCUCUGAAGGUUUAUAUUCAAAUGCAAAUCUGAAGAUACUGAAGUUUGCAUUGUAGGUAUCCACAGGAAAAGGAGCUAAUGCUUUUAUGCAGCAAUGGCAUCAUCUGCAAUGCUGUGAAAUAGCAGCAAUUUA